UACGGGGGGGGCAAGCGUUGUUCGGAAUUACUGGGCGUAAAGGGCUCGUAGGUGGCCAACUAAGUCAUACGUGAAAUCCCUCGGCUUAACCGGGGAACUGCGUCUGAUACUGGAUGGCUUGAGGUUGGGAGAGGGAUGCGGAAUUCCAGGUGUAGCGGUGAAAUGCGUAGAUAUCUGGAGGAACACCGGUGGCGAAGGCGGGUCUCUGGGCCGAUACUGACGCUGAGGAGCGAAAGCGUGGGGAGCGAACAGG
RNAcentral lists this ribosomal RNA (253 nucleotides) under uncultured bacterium. Its description in RNAcentral is "partial 16S ribosomal RNA". It matches the Rfam family "Bacterial small subunit ribosomal RNA", at positions 524 to 776 of the family's 1533-position model. The record is from RNAcentral.